CGGAACCAGUCCACGGUCGCACGCAUGUCACCAGAGCGCUGAGAGUCGAAGAAACCGAGGAGUGGUGUUUUGGCCACAUCAUUGAACUGCAUUUGGAGGCAGAUGCCGUUUCAGAGCCGCCCCCCCUCCAAAUCUUCUUCGAGGUGAUAUCAACCGACUGGUGGGGCCGGCACCGCACCGAAGGGUACAGCUAUCUCGCUCUUCCCCUGCGUCCAGGGUCGCACAGCAAGCUGCUGUCCUGCUCUCGCCCUGACGAGUGGGAUAGGGUGGAGGCUGGCAGUCGUAGGUUCUUCGUGGGAGGGUGUAACUUGAUCAAGGACUUGGAUGUGUUGGCUAACCCGCAGUUGCAGAACGCCAACUUCGUCUUCACAACAACCGGGAGCAUAUCUAUCCGCUGGCAUACCCUCUCCCAAUCCCCGCUCCCAGGGUACUCUCUACCGGGGCCCACUGUUGGGCGCUCCGCGUCUGCUGUCUUACUGGGGGCAGAGGCGGUGCUGCGGCAGUACAGGAGGGCGCGGGCCCGGCUCGCCGCCGCCACCAGGGACCUGCGCCACGACGGCUCCGGGGACGCGCCGUCUUUGGACGAGUCUUGAGAAGACCUACCGUCUUGAGAAGACCUAACUCCAGCGUGGAUUCUUGGAAGAUGACGAACGUUCUGUCAUUGUAUCUAC
Long non-coding RNA from Ostrinia nubilalis (European corn borer), 671 nucleotides. RefSeq lists it as uncharacterized. Lineage: Eukaryota; Metazoa; Arthropoda; Insecta; Lepidoptera; Crambidae. The transcript is spliced from 3 exons. The record is from RefSeq and is a predicted model, not a curated record.